Electrophorus electricus (electric eel) is the source of this 5123-nucleotide long non-coding RNA. RefSeq lists it as uncharacterized. The record is from RefSeq and is a predicted model, not a curated record. Lineage: Eukaryota; Metazoa; Chordata; Actinopteri; Gymnotiformes; Gymnotidae.
GCCAUACCAACCCUGAGUCAAUGCUCAAGAAUUCAGGAAGUAUAAUUUAUACAUUAAGGUCCUGGAUGACACUAUGUAAAUAUAGCAGUCAUGGAUGACUUGGAGCACAGUGUUUUUAUAGCAGAGCAAGAAUGGAACUGUUUCUGUGAGGAGAGUGAAGAAUGCUCUAUCCAGCAGGCUGGGCUUGCAGGCCUGGAUGACUCGGGCCUCAGUGACACUGAUGACGAUAAAUGCUCUGCACAAGAGCCUGUUCUUCUUCUUCAGACAAAUCCUGACAAGCCCAGUGAGGAACAAGGUGCAACCGCACAAAUACAGGACAAAGCUGAGGACUGCAACAUGAGAGACCUGUCCGUGGAUUCUGAAUGCUUUAGCUGUGAGACAGAUAGAGGCAAGCAUGCUGAACAGACUUCACAGAUCAGUUUGACUGCUAACGCAACCACAUGCACAUGCUUGAACACAGAUUGCAGCGUGAGUGGUAGUGACAUAGUUCCCUCUGACCAGCAACACAGGACUUCAGACACAGAGAGUGUUAAAGACCACGAUCAGUAUCGCAGCAAGGGUAAUUUAGGUCAAGCCACAGGGGAGCUAGUCACCAUGACAUCUGCUCCAAGUAUCCAGCACACUGGUAAAGUUUGUAGCUCAGAAGUCACAAUGGUGAUGGGGAGUUCAGAAACACCAAAAAAGGAGAAAGAACGGUGGUUUGUCACAGUAAAUGACAGUCCAGCUCACCCUAGAAUAUACCAUGGAACUCCAGGCCAAAACAAAAGGAAGAGAAAAAUGUUCUAGGAAGUUAACUGAAAAAAAAAAGAGUAGCAAAAAGGCCGUGUACUAUAUCAAAUAAAGAAAAAAAGCAGAUAAUUUAUAUUUCAAUAGAUUACCUGGUAACGGAAAUGAAGAGAUCAUUUCAGGAUCAGCCAAUAUCCAAAAAAUAGUUUUAUCCCCAUAAAAGAGCAUGAAGUGGAAGAUUGCGAAAAGGCCUCCAUUACAAGCAUUAACUUUACUUUAACUGUAAACCCAUCUGCUGCUAAAUUUGAAAACUUAAAUUGUGCAGAUGUUCCUACAGAUAUGCCAGAAAAUAACUGUUCUAUUUCUUUAAAUUCUCCAACCCCACUAAUUCUUGCACAUAAUUUACAAUUACAAAUUGAUAUUCUAAAUGGUUCCAUGACACAACUUGCAUAUGACUAAUACACAGUUAACUAACACGAAAGUAACACUGAAAUCGCCACUCAUGAUCAACCAGUGACCAACAUAUUAUGCCAUGUUUAUGAUGACACAGGAGAAAGUGGUUCAGGAUUCACCCUCGCUUCAAUAACUGUCCCACCAGAUAAGACAAUGAGUAUUUAACACAUUUUCAAAAAGAAGAGAAGCACUCCUCUCUCUCAGAGAAUUCGGCAUCAACUAAUGAAAGCCUGGAGGUAGCUAUAAAUCCAUCUCGUCCAAUAUAUGCCCUUUCAUCCUUUUGGGAUGAAAUGGAAAAGUUCGCAAUAAAUGACAUCUUACAUCUUAGAGUAGCUAAUGACAAAUGAAAGAAAAUGUUCAUCCUGAGGCGUGAUGUCCAAGACAGAUGUCUGGUGAAUUCCAAAGACAGGAUUUUAUAAGAGAGUAGCUUAACAGGUGACACUGCAGAUUCAGACUGUUUCACACAUUUAGAUGACUCUAAACCAGACCACUCAAGCUGUGAAAUUCCUUUCACAAAAAACUUUCUCUGAUUUUGAUAAUGAAUUUUUACAAAGUGCAAACCGUAGCCCGGAGUCUCAGAAUGUCCAAGAGCCCAUCAAUAUACAAGAGCUCUUACUAGAACAAGUAAAUGAGUUAACGGUAAUAAACAAUAAAAGUGAUACAGAACAUUUUAUAAUGCUAUGACCUCAGGAUGGAAUCCCUCUUUACCUGUGUCCAGAUGCAGAGGCACAAAGCUCAUGUCUUGCAUCUGAUCAGGACAGCAGUGGAAAUCCUUUUGAAUGGGAAACCUUCAGGAAAACAUCUUCCCUUGUUUUGUCAGUUGUCAAUUCUCUAGAUGAUCAUUACCUGUUAACUUUAUCUGACAUUUUUGCUAAAGACAUUGCAGAAGGACUUGAGACAAGGAGCCCAGAUGGGCACAGCUGUCAUCUCAUUUCCUUACUCACAAUACCUUUCUGUGCCAAAGACUUAUGAUGAUUUCUUUUCAGACUUUGAGGUUGCAAAUCUUUUCUUUCCUUCAGUACAAGAUAAAACAAUUCCCAUUUUCUCAUCCCCACUUUUCUUGAUGAGAGAUCUGGUAUUACCUGAGGUGGAGGAACUGAGCAAGUCAGAUGCUGAAAAUGAGAAUUCCCAAAUACAGGUCAUGGCUCGCUACAGCAGCCAGCCAGAAAAGUCCACAAGUUACUUGCCAAACUUUAACUUUUUCACAAACCAGAGGAGAAACUGGAGAAGCAUUCUUUCCUUGAGAAGAAUCAGAUUUAUGGGGAAGGGAAGUAGCUGGUGCCAAAAAAUAUGCUCUUGGAUUUUCCCACAAGAAGCAAAAAAGGAAACAUCAUAUGUCUCAAAAGUCCAGUCAAUGUCACCUCUGCUUCCCCUGGAGGCCAAAGCACUUGUAGAGUUUGUAGAUCAGCAGGAAAAUAUUCAACAUGGUGUAUCAAUUUCAAAAUCUUCUUUUCUAUAGGUCAAGAAGAUAAUUCAAGGAGAAUAAUUUAUGGACAUACAGAUUUACUGAUGCAACCUUAUUUCAGUAUAUUUAGGAAUUUAUUUAGGUAAGAUAAUCACAUACAAUUAACAUUUUUCUACUUAAUUUGUUCAUAGCUCCGCUGGCAAAUGUGAGUGCAAUAUCUGCUAUCCAGUAUUUGCGGCAGUAUGUGAAAACAGACACAACUAAUCAUGAUCCAUGAUCCAUAGACUCUUGGAUCUUUCCAAGAAAUUCUCUGAAGUGGGCCAAUGUAAAAAGAAGGGUUAAUUCUGCAUAAAUUCAUGGCAACAAACAUUUUUCUUUUGAUAAAUAUAUAUUACAACAUACACCCAUACAGAUUUAUGUGAUCCAAAACACUUUACUUAACAUAGUUUGUCAGCAGCUAUGUCAUUUAAAAUAGACAGCAUCCAAACCUUAGGGGAAAUCCAUUAUUUCCUCCUAUUUACUGUAUUGUUAUUAGAGUAACAUUUAUUCUACUAUAGUCCAGGUAUUGCCUAGAUAUUAGGUUUACAGAGGGCACUAGUAGGAUUUAUGUCAGAGAUAGUUAGAACUGAAGAUGUGCUAAACAUUGGUAGCUUGUGUAUAUGGUUAUGAAUGAAAAAAUACCAAUAGAUUGUUACUGAAAACUGCAACAAUAGAACAAUUUAUGUUUUUAAUAAUAAUAAUAAUAAUAAUAAUAGUGUAAUAUUGCAAAGAAUGUGGAUAUUUGUCAAAAAUGUUUGUCAGUACCUUCAUGGUUUAAAAAAACUGAGCACAUGGAACUAUGGAACAGCAAGUAAUGUACCUCGCUAGACCAGUUUAAAUGUGAAGCAUACAUUUUUAAAAACGAAUUAAAGCUGCUUUUCAUAGCAAAUACAAUGUUUUUAUUUUUGGUUUUUUAACAAAACUGAGGAAGAUUUAUUUAACAGAGUAAUGUAUUAAAACCUUUGAAUUCUUAUGGUUUACUUGGACAAGCUGGUAUUGCUAUGGUCAUACAGAAUGGAUUUUACUUUUUAAUAACUGUCCGAAUAAUCUUUCAAAAAUAUAGUGUUAACCUGUUUACUACUGACCAUGAAUCAAGACAAUAACUAUUAUUAUUUUCCUAUAACUUUUACUUCUAAAGACUGAAUUUGUAUUUUAUAGAGGGAAAACUUUUAAACAGCAUUCAAACAGCAGUUACAGUGGGGUGGGGUUCAAGCCCCAUCACUGCCAAGUUGCCACUUUUGGGGUCCCUGAGCAAGGCCUUUAAUCCUGAAAAGCUCAAGUUGGACUCAGUCAUAAUUGUAAGUCGCUUUGGAUAAAAGCGUCAGCUAAAUGCCAUAAACGUAAAUGUAUAUAGGACUGAAUGCAGUAUUAGGGAAAUGCAUGUAACUGUGACAUCAUAUUAGUAAUAUUUAUUAACCAAUUUAUUUGCAGCUAAGGGAGAGUGCUUGAAAGCAUCUAUACUAAUCAAAUUUACUUUUUAUUUUUAUUCAUCAAUAAAAUUAGAAAAAAUGUAGUUUGAUUUUUAAAAGUACAGUAAACAUACAAUCAAAUAAGAUUUGAUUUUUGAUGCAAACAUAUGUACGUGCUUCAUAAGGAGAUACAUUCAAUAUUGUUUUAUUGUAGAAAAUGCUGGAUUGGUUGGCAGAUGUGCAAGCAAAAUUUUGACAUCAGUAGGUUUUGAAUAAUAUUGUUAAUAGUUCUAACUUAUGGUUAUUCAAGCACACAAGAAGAAAGACACUGCUUUUUAUUGUCACAGCUACCUUUAUAUUGUUACUUAGACAUAACACCAUAUCCAGAGAUAUAUGACAUGAUGUCAAGGAAUUAGUUAUUUGCUAUUAAUACAGUUUCACUUGUAUUGCAAUAAACAGUCCAAAAACUAUUCUUUCUCUUUCUUUCUCUUUUCUCUAUGUUAUAUAAACAAACGUUAAAAGGGUAAGACAGUGGAAUAUAGUUGACAUACAGGCCAAUAAGGAAUUACUACUACAGUGUUAUACACUAAUAAGAGUGUCCCCUCUAAGAUAUGCCUGAAAAGAGGAUGUUAAAGAAAGGGUAAGAUACUGUAUGUAAAGCAUGCACUUUCUGCACAUAGGUUACUUAAGUCCAAAUCUACCAUUGGAACAUUUUAAUUUACAAAUAAUGUAAUAUAUUAUUUGAUACAUAUACUAUUUACAAUCUUAUAGAGAGUAGGAUUCAAUAAAUUCUGAAACAUUUUGCUAUAUUGUGUAUAUAAGGAUACAGGACAGCACCUUGCAAAUACUAAAUAAGUCUAGUGCUUUAGCACUGUAACAAAGUUUCAUUAGAUUUCCUUUUUAACAGUACAAACUGCCAAGUAAUAUUCAUGCAAGGAAAACAAUGUCAGUGUGCUUGGAAAAGGCUAGUUAUUUUAUACAAUACAACAGGGAAAACUCUUAAGUGCAGAAAAGAGGGGGGGAAAUGAUCCCAAUACAGGGUUAUCUAAAGAAAAAGGAAAAAAACAAACAAACAAAAAAAAAAAAAAAAA